AACGGUGAUGGAGAGCUUGCUCUCCUGAUCAGUGGCGAACGGGUGAGUAACACGUGGGCAACCUGCCCCUGACUUUGGGAUAACGCUUCGAAAGAGGUGCUAAUACCGAAUAUGAACCCUCAUGGCAUCUUGAGGGUUGGAAAGUUUUUCGGUCAGGGAUGGGCCCGCGGCCUAUCAGCUUGUUGGUGAGGUAAUGGCUCACCAAGGCGACGACGGGUAGCCGGCCUGAGAGGGCGACCGGCCACACUGGGACUGAGACACGGCCCAGACUCC
Molecule: ribosomal RNA, 273 nt
Filed under: unidentified marine bacterioplankton
Lineage: Bacteria
Also listed under: 1 other name
Description: partial 16S ribosomal RNA
Rfam family: Bacterial small subunit ribosomal RNA
Source: RNAcentral